This 354-nucleotide ribosomal RNA is filed under the name uncultured bacterium. Its description in RNAcentral is "bacterial SSU rRNA". It matches the Rfam family "Bacterial small subunit ribosomal RNA", at positions 1 to 334 of the family's 1533-position model. The record is from RNAcentral.
CUAGCGACUUCAGAGUUUGAUCCUGGCUCAGGAUGAACGCUGGCGGCGUGCCUAACACAUGCAAGUCGAGCGAGAUGUUGCAACAUGAAGCUUCGGUAGAUUGUUGUGACGGAAAGCGGCGGACGGGUGAGUAACGCGUAGGUAACCUGCCCCAUACAGAGGGAUAGCCACUGGAAACGGUGAUUAAUACCUCAUAAGACUGCAGAUACACAUGUAUCAGCGGCCAAAGAUUUAUCGGUAUGGGAUGGACCUGCGUCUGAUUAGCUAGUUGGUGGGGUAACGGCUCACCAAGGCGACGAUCAGUAGCCGACCUGAGAGGGUGAUCGGCCACAUUGGAACUGAGACACGGUCCAA